AGAGUUUGAUCCUGGCUCAGGAUGAACGCUAGCGGUAGGCCUAACACAUGCAAGUCGAACGGUAACAUGAGAGCUUGCUCUUGAUGACGAGUGGCGGACGGGUGCGUAACACGUAUGCAACAUACCCUUUACAGGGGGAUAGCCCAGAGAAAUCUGGAUUAAUACCCCAUAAUAUCAUGGAUUCGCAUGUUUCUAUGAUUAAAACUCCGGUGGUAAAGGAUUGGCAUGCGGCCCAUUAGUUUGUUGGUGAGGUAAUGGCUCACCAAGACUACGAUGGGUAGGGGGUCUGAGAGGAUGAUCCCCCACACUGGUACUGAAACACGGACCAGACUCCUACGGGAGGCAGCAGUGAGGAAUAUUGGUCAAUGGACGAAAGUCUGAACCAGCCAUACCGCGUGCAGGAAGACAGCCCUAUGGGUCGUAAACUGCUUUUGUUUGCCAAGAAACCUCCCCACGUGUGGGGAGCUGACGGGAGCAUAUCGAAUAAAGACCGGAUAACUCCGUGCCAGCUUCCGCAGGUAUACAGAAGGUUCAAGCGUUUAUCCGGAUUUAUUGCGUUGAAGGGUCCGUUAGCGCGAAAAUAAGUCACAGUCUGAAAUCCAGUGGCUCAUCCAUAAAAUUGGGAAGUGAUCCUUCUUGCUUGACUUUAAAAUUGUGCAAGGAAAAGGUGAUUUUGCCCCCAGCUCACAACGCAUAGAG
Molecule: ribosomal RNA, 699 nt
Filed under: uncultured bacterium
Lineage: Bacteria
Description: bacterial SSU rRNA
Rfam family: Bacterial small subunit ribosomal RNA
Source: RNAcentral